CCCGCUCGCGUUGGGGCGGCCCAAGAUGGCGGCGCGCUGGAGCAGCGAGAAUGUGGUGGUGGAGUUCCGCGACGCCCAGGCGACUGCGAUGUCAGUGGAUUGCCUGGGACAGCAUGCAGUGCUCUCAGGCCGCCGUUUCCUCUACAUAGUCAACCUGGACGCACCAAACGAGGGACAUCGAAAGAUCUCCCGACAGAGCAAGUGGGACAUAGGGGCAGUGCAGUGGAACCCGCAUGACAGCUAUGCGUACUACUUUGCAGCUUCAAGCAAUCAGCGUGUUGACCUGUAUAAGUGGAAGGAAGGGAAUGGGGAAGUUUGCACAUCACUGCAAGGACACACACGUGUCAUCAGUGACCUGGACUGGGCAGUGUUUGAGCCAGACCUGCUGGUCACCAGUUCUGUUGACACAUACAUCUACAUCUGGGACAUCAAAGACACCAGGAAGCCUACAGUCUCGCUCUCUGCGGUUGCUGGAGCUUCCCAGGUGAAGUGGAACAAGAAAAAUGCCAACUGUUUGGCAACAAGCCAUGAUGGGGAUGUCCGAAUAUGGGACAAAAGGAAACCCAGCACUGCAGUAGAGUACUUGGCAGCUCAUCUCUCUAAAAUCCAUGGUCUGGAUUGGCAUCCUGACAAUGAGUAUACACUGGCCACUUCGAGCCAGGACAACUCUGUCAGGUUCUGGGAUUACCGUCAGCCUCGGAAAUACCUUAAUAUCCUUCCCUGCCAGGUUCCUGUCUGGAAGGCAAGAUACACGCCUUUCAGCAAUGGACUGGUGACGGUGAUGGUCCCCCAACUCCGCCGGGAGAACAGUCUCCUUCUCUGGAAUGUCUUUGACUUGAACACACCUGUCCACACCUUUGUGGGACAUGAUGAUGUGGUGCUGGAAUUUCAGUGGAGGAAGCAGAAAGAAGGUUCUAAAGACUACCAGCUGGUUACGUGGUCCCGUGAUCAGACUCUGCGUAUGUGGCGGAUUGACUCUCAGCUGCAGAGGCUGUGUGCUAAUGAUAUCCUGGAUGGAGUUGAGGACCUCAUUGAUGGGAUUUCUCAUCUGCCAGAGCCAGACAAGACCCUUCACCCCCAGGACUCGGAGCCACAGCAUAACUCUGGACAUGGGGAUGAGGAAGCCUUAAAAGAAGAUUUCCUGAGUGACCCACUUGUGGGAAAGAAAACAGACCAAAUGGGGCUGCCCCAAACACUGCAGCAGGAGUUCUCGCUAAUCAACGUCCAGAUCCGAAAUGUCAAUGUGGAGAUGGAUGCGGUGAGUCGUAGCUGUACGGUGUCAGUGCACUGCGGCAACCACAGAGUCAGGAUGCUGGUGAUGUUCCCUGUCCAGUAUCCCAAUAAUGCUGCACCAUCCUUCCAGUUCAUCAACCCAACUUCAAUCACUGCCUCCAUGAAGGCAAAGCUGCUGAAGAUACUGAAAGACACUUCUCUGCAGAAAGUGAAGCGGAACCAGAGCUGCCUAGAGCCUUGCCUGCGUCAGCUGGUCUCCUGGCUGGAGUCUGUUGUGAACCAAGAGGACAGCACAUCCAGCAAUCCCUACGCUUUGUCCAACUCUGUAACACCCCCCUUGCCCACGUUCGCCCGGGUCUCCAAUGCCUAUGGCUCGUACCAGGACUCUAACAUCCCAUUUCCACGGACUUCUGGAGCCAGGUUCUGUGGUGCAGGGUACCUGGUAUAUUUCACAAGACCCAUGACCAUGCACCGUGCAGUGUCCCCUAUGGAGCCCACACCCAGGUCCCUGUCAGCUUUAUCAGCAUACCAUAGUGGCCUCAUUACUCCAAUGAAGAUCCGCACAGAGACUCCAGGCAAUCUACGUUUGUACAGUGGGAGUCCGACACGCAGCGAGAAGGAGCAGGUCUCCAUUAGCUCCUUCUACUACAAAGAGAGGAUGUCUCCUCGCUCUGCCUGGCGACGUUGGUCCAUACAAGCAAUUAACGACUUCCCGAAAUCAAGGAGGUGGAAAAGCAAACGAGAGGGGACAGAUACCAACAACCGACCCAUUAAAGCCGCCGGGAAAGUUAUUAUCCAAGAUAUUUCCUGCUUGCUGCCUGUCCACAAGCUGCUGGGAGAGCUCUACAUACUAAAUGUGAAUAAUAUCCAGGAGACUUGCCAGAAGAAUGCUGCCUCAGCCUUGGCUGUGGGACGGAGGGAUCUCGUACAGGUUUGGUCACUGGCCAUGGUAGCCACUGAUCUCUGUCUUGGGCCGAAGUCUGACCCAGAUUUGGAGAUACCUUGGGCACAACAUCCAUUUGGACGUCAAUUACUGGAGUCCCUGUGUCAUUUCAGAUUUGGAGGAGUGCCACAGCAUGUAUAUUCACUUCUCAAGCCUGAGGUGCAUCAAAAAGGGAAGCUGCAAGUUUGUUUAUGACAUACAGGAGGCAGCAUUUGGCCUCCCAUCUAGCACCUGCGUCUUCUUUGGCUGACAUUGAUCAAUUGGCCAGGUGCAGUUGGAGCUCUGCUUUCCAGCAUUUACACAAUAUCUGACUUGGGGAUUUUGGUUUCCUGCUCCCCACCUAAAUGAGGGUGUUGGUGCAGCUGCUUUUUCCACCUUCAGAUCCGCUGUUGCCAUAUAAACAUUAGGGAAACCAUUCCACUGGUCUCAAAGCUAAGUAUUAGCUGCAGAUGUCUUCCUGCCAUUGAAUCUGUUCAGGAGAGGCAUAAUUAGUAAUUGAUAUUCAGUAUACCCUAUUUGGAGGCACAGCAUUUGUGAGAUGUACUUUGGCAUUACUGUUGCUUGACCUAGCUCUUUCAUGCUGCAUGGUAGUGAUGGGAGGGGAGCACAGUCUUCAGAGCAAACCAGAAACUUCACAGCCACCAGGAAAACCUGUGGUCCACAAGGCAAAACCCCACCACAGGUUUUCUCAGAAAGACUUUGUAGCUGGGGGUGAGUCUAAUGACUGCAGCUUUACAUCCUGUUAAAAUCAGUUCUGUGGAUGUUCCUGAAGCUGCAUGAACUUGGGAUAAUCAGGCCAUGAGUAUUGCUGGAUUCCCAGAGCUUCCAUCUUUCCCUGGCCUGUGAGUGUGCUCAGGAGGAGGACUGGCUCCUCAAUAACAGAAUGGAAAGAAAACCCAGUCCUGCAGAGCACAUAUGCCUCCUCUGGGCAGUAAUGUGUACCAAAUUGGUUUAGGCAACAGCCUCAGAAUUAGUUGCCCUGCAGUCUGAAUGCUUUUGCCACUGAAUUCUGCCUAGUCCCACAGUGUCUGUCCUUCUCAUUUCACAGGCUGGCUCAUUACUCACAGCUCCACGAUGUGCAGACCCUGGCCAUGCUCUGCAGUGUGUUUGAAGCCCAGUCCAGGCUACAGGGGUGUCCAAACUCUGGCCCCUUCCCUCCUCGUGCCUCCAACCUGGCCUCCCACAGCCGAUAUCCCAGCUUUACUUCCUCUGGCUCAUGUUCCAGCAUGUCAGAUCCUGGACUUGGCACUGGAGGGUGGAGCAUAGGUAUGGAGACCUCGGUAGGAUAUAGAGGUGUCUCCCUCCCUUCUGGCCUGGAUUUUAGAUGGCUCCUGCGGUGGGGGAAGAAAGGUUGUGAUUGUAAAUGUGCUCUGCUAGAGCGUAUUUCCAGAGUUUGGCCAUUGUGAUGGGACUCCACGGCUGGAAGUGAUCAGGGCUUGCAGUAACCGUGUCAGUGCUCCUGCACUCCUGCCCCUUCUGACUUCUGUAGCAUGCUGUGCCACUGGGCUUUGGAGGAACUGUUGCAAAAGCCCUAGACAUACCCAGCUAGGCCCCUGGAUCUCAGGUUAACCUAGAGCCAAGAGCUUCCACUGCUGCCUUUUCCAGUUGGAGACAAGUAAAAAGACAGACCAGUUAGUGAGUGUUUUGCUUCUAGCCUGGCUAUAGCAGGCACUUGGGGUGACUGCCUCGAUUGAGGCUGUUAUCCAUGCGAACUGCUGCUGGUAUUUUUCUUGUCCUACGUGUGCCUGGACGUGGUUCCCAGGGUUAGCUGCUCCAUCACCUUCCCAGGGAUCGAGGUUGGGCUGACUGCCCUGCAGUUCCCUGGGUCCUCCUCCUUGUCCUUCUUGAAGACAGCAGUGACAUUUGUUUUCUUCCAGUCCUCAGGCACUUCUUCCAGUCACCACAAUCGUUCAGCGAUUAUCAAGAGUGGCUUCACAAUGUCAUCAGCGACCUAAUUCCACGGGGUUCAGAGGGAGGAAAAGCAGUGAUGUGCUUUCUCCUGUCACUGGAAAAACAUCAGCAGUUGGGAAGGCUGUGGUUAUCUCAUGUUCUUGGUGCCAUGAAAUACCCGCAGGCCUAAGGAGGUUUUCUGCUGAGCUGCAAAGGUGUCAAAGACAAAUCGUUCUUAAGGGCUUCAGUGUCAGAGUUGAAGCUGUUGUCUAAUUCCUUGUAUAUACCUGGCCUGGGGCAGCAUCAGCCCUGUUAGCACCAAAGCUAUAACUUUUCAGGGUGAUAUCAGUACAUCUGUGACACGGGGAAGAGCAGAGAAUGGAGCUUAGUGUAGCUGUUGAUGUCUUGUAGCAAUUAUUAGCAGUCUUCUCCCUGCCCCCAGGGCAAUACCUCCCAUAGAAAGGUCUCUUUACAUAACUGCAGCCCUGGUGAUGAGAGUCCUCCCUGUCUAGGAAAGAGGAGCCCAGGUCCGCCAGGGAUAACAUUCCCAAGCAAACUCCAGGGGAUUGAAUGCCUGGUUACUUGCUGUCUAAAGUGGAAAGCAAAAGGGGGUUCCUCCAAGUUAGAUUUCUUUGCCUGAUGAUCUCCGUUCCUGUCCUGUCACCAGAAGAGUAACUUGUCUUGUCCAUGCCAUGGGGCUUGGAACUUUAAGGUCCCUUCCAACCCAAACCAGUCUAGGAUUCGAAGUAUAGAAGAAGCACUUGGCAAGUAGAGGUGGUCACUUAGUUUUCUAAGGCAGUGGUCAUCCAUGUCUCCUUCCCCACCCUGGUUUUGAUGAGGUGAUGCUCAUGAGCACUGUGCUUUCUGAGGUGUGCUCACAACCUUUUGACGCUUGCAGCAAACAAAGACACGGAGCAGGCCUCCACUCCCUGGUGUGAGUCUUCUCCGGAUGACUUCCGCUAUGGAAACCUAAUGUAUCCCGAUCAUCGGGAGCGUGAGAAAGACCAGCAUGAGAAGAACAAAAGGCUCCUGGAUCCUGCCAACACUCAGCAAUUUGAUGACUUUAAGAAGUGCUAUGGAGAAAUCCUUUACCGCUGGGGCCUGCGAGAGAAGCGGGCUGAGGUUCUCAAGUUUGUCUCUUGUCCUCCUGAUCCCCACAAAGGAAUUGAGUUUGGCGUGUACUGCAGCCACUGCCGCAGCGAGGUGCGCGGCACCCAGUGUGCCAUCUGCAAGGGCUUCACCUUCCAGUGCGCCAUCUGUCACGUGGCAGUGCGAGGCUCCUCCAAUUUCUGCCUGACAUGCGGACACGGGGGCCACACCAGCCAUAUGAUGGAGUGGUUUCGCACCCAGGAGGUGUGCCCCACGGGCUGUGGGUGCCACUGCCUGCUCGAGAGCACCUUCUGAGCAGGGCUGACAUCCCAUGAACUGCACUUACUCUUAAUUCCCAAACCACGGUGAAUCAGCUCUGCUCCACAGUGUGUCUGGAGGAAAUGCCACAGGAUGUCCUGGCGAUGCGCUGCAGUGAUGUUUACCAGUGCUUCCAAUAUUCCUACACUUGUUGCUUUCAGACUGAUUUGACCAAAUUCCCUGUGUCCAUUGCUGGCAAUGGAUGCCAGACCAGAAAAAAUUGCUCCCUCCUGCAAAAGGGUGUGUGAAUAUUUGCUAGUCUCCAUGGGGAUAAAGAGGUGUUAAAAAGCUUCUUUGGAAAGGGCUCUUAUGGCAGAGCCAAACUUGCUUCAGCUAUGUAGUGUCUUUACAGGGGCUCCAAGGGAGCCAAAUAGUUAAGGCAGAAAUAAUUCACAAGCAACAGUGAGCUCUAAAGGCGAACUGUAAACUGCUCUUAGAGAGCAAACAGUCCAUAGGACUGUGCUGAGAGUUACUUUAGGAAGCAACAAGGGGUUUUUUUGAAUGGCUGUUUACAUUUAUUAGAUUACCCCAUAAAGCAAGAGAAUGAAAUGACGUUUUUCAGGAUUACUUCCUAAAUAGCUUCUCCCUCACGGGUCUGUACCUGUGGCUGAUGUGAAAAGCCCCACUGUGUGCCCAGAGUCACUGGGAUUAGUUCCUUUCUUCCAGCAGUUUCUUCCUGUUGCUCUUAAAGUGUCUCCAUCUCCUGCUCUGACCUGGUGAUAUAAUGCACUUUAACUUGCCUGUCCCUGCCUUGUCAGUGACGCUGCCUGUUGAGUUUGGGAUUCAUGCAGCAUUCCCAUAGGUGGUGGCACCUGAGGUAGUUUCAGAAAGCCUUUGCUUCCCUACCAAGCUUGCUCCAUGCAACUCCUUUUGACUGUUUUCUCCAGGCUCUAUGGGGAAAAUCUAUGAAUAAGUUGAGAUCUGCUGAUGGUGUGCUUGAGUGACAAGGCUCCUGAGCUGGGGAGCAGUUUUGAGGGGAAAAGGGGUUUUGGAAGGGUGGUGGGAUUCACAGAGGCAAAAGGUUUGUGCCUUUUCUCCCUGUGGAGCUUCAAUAGCAGAAUGUAUCAGAUUGAUCCGUCUGUUUGGGGCUGUGCCUCUGGGCACUGCCAUCCUGGGGACGCUGCUGUGCGGUUGUGUGCAUGCCCCACACACCUUGAGCUCCCCUGAGCAGGCUUCAGCCUGAGCUUUGGCCUUGGGCAAAUGUGUGGUGAGGGCUGAGGCCGCUGGAGUUACCCCCCAUGCCAUGCCAGCGCUGAUCCCUUUUUCCUGUGCUUGCCUGCUGGGCAGGGCCACGUGCCGUGCCUGCUCCCAGCCUUUGUGCCAGCUUUGCUGUGGAAUAAACAGAGGGGUGUAUCUGAAAACAUUAAACCAUUAAAGUUAUUUUUUUAAGUGCU
Molecule: RNA transcript, 6867 nt
Organism: Strigops habroptila (Kakapo)
Lineage: Eukaryota; Metazoa; Chordata; Aves; Psittaciformes; Psittacidae
Gene: WDR59
Gene name: WD repeat domain 59
Exons: 26
Source: RefSeq, a predicted model, not a curated record